AAAACGACUCUCGGCAACGGAUAUCUCGGCUCUCGCAUCGAUGAAGGACGUAGCGAAAUGCGAUACUUGGUGUGAAUUGCAGAAUCCCGUGAACCAUCGAGUCUUUGAACGCAAGUUGCGCCCCAAGCCUUCUGGCCGAGGGCACGUCUGCCUGG
Molecule: ribosomal RNA, 155 nt
Filed under: Parrya stenophylla
Lineage: Eukaryota; Viridiplantae; Streptophyta; Magnoliopsida; Brassicales; Brassicaceae
Description: 5.8S ribosomal RNA
Rfam family: 5.8S ribosomal RNA
About the family: 5.8S ribosomal RNA (5.8S rRNA) is a component of the large subunit of the eukaryotic ribosome. It is transcribed by RNA polymerase I as part of the 45S precursor that also contains 18S and 28S rRNA. Functionally, it is thought that 5.8S rRNA may be involved in ribosome translocation.
Source: RNAcentral